RNAcentral lists this ribosomal RNA (301 nucleotides) under uncultured bacterium. Its description in RNAcentral is "partial 16S ribosomal RNA". It matches the Rfam family "Bacterial small subunit ribosomal RNA", at positions 509 to 808 of the family's 1533-position model. The record is from RNAcentral.
CAGAGCCGCGGUAAUACGAAGGGUGCAAGCGUUAAUCGGAAUUACUGGGCGUAAAGCGUGCGUAGGCGGUGAGUUAAGUCUGCUGUGAAAUCCCCGGGCUCAACCUGGGAAUGGCAGUGGAUACUGGCUUGCUAGAGUGUGUCAGAGGAUGGUGGAAUUCCCGGUGUAGCGGUGAAAUGCGUAGAGAUCGGGAGGAACAUCAGUGGCGAAGGCGGCCAUCUGGGACAACACUGACGCUGAGGCACGAAAGCGUGGGAAGCAAACAGGAUUAGAUACCCCCGUAGUCCCUGUCUCUUAUACA